RNAcentral lists this long non-coding RNA (586 nucleotides) under Anas platyrhynchos platyrhynchos (common mallard). RNAcentral's name for it is "lncRNA (ENSAPLG00000027381.1)". The record is from RNAcentral. Lineage: Eukaryota; Metazoa; Chordata; Aves; Anseriformes; Anatidae.
ACACCCCACAAUAAAUAUUCUUUUCUAAAAGGAAAUAGUUCAUUUUGACACUUUAUAAACAGAAGAGGUGUUUUGACUUUUUGUUUUGAAUGAACACUCUAAACAUAAAUGUAUAUAUACUAAAUGCUUAUGAAUUAUCUUUUUAGAAGUUAUUGAAACUGAAAUGUUACACUUAAAGUGAAAUUUUUAUUUUUAUGUUUAUUUUAUUUAUUUUAUUUUAUUUCAGACAACUAAUGGAUCUCUAGCUGUUUCUUCUAACUGCUUGAAAACUCAGACAUUCGUAUAAGAAACACUGGACAAUGAGGAGAACUGCUUCAGUACUGGAGACAGGAGUUUGGAGCGCUCCCUUGUACAAGUAUGCUUUGACCAUUGCACUUCUUCACCUCCUGUAUCUUGUUUCAUGUCCUUCAGAGAAGAAAAGUUUUUGAAGAGAAGUGGUUUGCUGCUCCUUAGAAAUGAGAGCAGUAGGCUUGAGUGCCCCUCCAGGCUCCUGUGAAGGCAAGAAAGCCUGAUUUCUUGUUUACUCUCCUCUAACUUGACACUAAGCCAGCGACACUAUUCAUUCAGCAACACUAUCCAUUUUAUA